RNAcentral lists this ribosomal RNA (285 nucleotides) under uncultured Eubacteriales bacterium. Its description in RNAcentral is "uncultured Clostridiales bacterium partial 16S ribosomal RNA". It matches the Rfam family "Bacterial small subunit ribosomal RNA", at positions 65 to 339 of the family's 1533-position model. Lineage: Bacteria; Bacillati; Bacillota; Clostridia; Eubacteriales. The record is from RNAcentral.
AACGAAAAGAGGGAAAGAGCUUGCUCUUUCCGGAAUUGAGUGGCAAACGGGUGAGUAACACGUAAACAACCUGCCUUCAGGAUGGGGACAACAGACGGAAACGACUGCUAAUACCGCAUAAGCCCACGACCCGGCAUCGGGUUGAGGGAAAAGGAGCAAUCCGCUUUGAGAUGGCCUCGCGUCCGAUUAGCUAGUUGGUGAGGUAACGGCCCACCAAGGCGACGAUCAGUAGCCGGACUGAGAGGUUGACCGGCCACAUUGGGACUGAGAUACGGCCCAGACUCC